GAUGAACGCUGGCGGCGUGCCUAAUACAUGCAGGUCGAACGCUGGAGAUCUAGCUUGCUAGAUCGAAGGAGUGGCGAACGGGUGAGUAAUACAUAAGCAACCUACCCACGAAGACUGGGAUAAUCUCUGGAAACGGGGACUAAUACCGGAUAGGUAAUCGGAAGGCAUCUUCUGGUUAUUAAAGGUUAAAAACACUGGUGGAUGGGCUUAUGGCGCAUUAGUUAGUUGGUGAGGUAACGGCCCACCAAGACGAUGAUGCGUAGCCGGCCUGAGAGGGUGAACGGCCACAUUGGGACUGAGACACGGCCCAGACUCCUACGGGAGGCAGCAGUAGGGAAUUUUCGGCAAUGGGGGCAACCCUGACCGAGCAACGCCGCGUGAGUGAAGACGGCCUUCGGGUUGUAAAGCUCUGUUGUAAGGGAAGAACGGUAGAUAGAGAAUAUCUAAGUGACGGUACCUUACCAGAAAGCCACGGCUAACUACGUGCCAGCAGCCGCGGUAAUACGUAGGUGGCGAGCGUUAUCCGGAAUUAUUGGGCGUAAAGGGUGCGUAGGCGGCCUGUUAAGUAAGUGGUUAAAUUGUUGGGCUCAACCCAAUCCAGCCACUUAAACUGGCAGGCUAGAGUAUUGGAGAGGCAAGUGGAAUUCCAUGUGUAGCGGUAAAAUGCGUAGAUAUAUGGAGGAACACCAGUGGCGAAGGCGGCUUGCUAGCCAAAGACUGACGCUCAUGCACGAAAGCGUGGGGAGCAAAUAGG
RNAcentral lists this ribosomal RNA (754 nucleotides) under uncultured Bulleidia sp. Its description in RNAcentral is "bacterial SSU rRNA". It matches the Rfam family "Bacterial small subunit ribosomal RNA", at positions 28 to 776 of the family's 1533-position model. Lineage: Bacteria; Bacillati; Bacillota; Erysipelotrichia; Erysipelotrichales; Erysipelotrichaceae. The record is from RNAcentral.